AUGGACCGCUGCCGCCACACCGACCCCGCGCGCCGGCCAAGGGACGGCCACAAGGUGGUGAUCGAGUCGCCGGAGAUGGAGCAUCAGAUGUUCCUCCUCCGCCGCCAUGCCGUCCUCCUCAUCUCCACGGCCGAGCGACACGCGGCGAGCCCCAUGUCCGUCGGUCGCGCCUUCGACGCUGUUCUCCGCACCCCGGCGCACCUGCUGUGAGUGACCAGCCACGACCCGAAGGACUUCCUCGUCCACUUCGAGCUGCCGGCGCACCGGGACAACGCCGUCUGCCUGGGCUCCAUCAACGUCGAUGGUGUCGCCUUCACCAUCAAGCCGUGGCACGAGGACGUCCACGCCGACAAUGAAGACUUCCUCCUCCAUGUCCGCGUCGUCAUCGAGAAGAUGCCCAUGCACCUGUGGUCCGUUGACGUUGCGGCGGGGGUGCUCGGCGACAAAUGCAUCAUCGACCGGCUCGACAGCCGCACGCACGAGCGCGGCCACAUGCGGACAUUCGCGUGCUGGGUGUGGGUGUACGACGUCGCCUUCAUCCCCACCAAGCACACCAUCUGGCGCGCGGCGCGUGGUGCCGGCCGCGUCGAGGCCAUGCUGGGCUUCUCGCCGCCCAGCCGUGAGGUCCCCCCAUCCACCACGCGUCCGGCGCAACGUUAUGCUCAUCCACGUCGACCGCGUUGA
Molecule: ribosomal RNA, 684 nt
Filed under: Triticum aestivum (bread wheat)
Lineage: Eukaryota; Viridiplantae; Streptophyta; Magnoliopsida; Poales; Poaceae
Description: partial small subunit ribosomal RNA
Source: RNAcentral